Fukomys damarensis (Damara mole-rat) is the source of this 336-nucleotide long non-coding RNA. RefSeq lists it as uncharacterized. The transcript is spliced from 3 exons. Lineage: Eukaryota; Metazoa; Chordata; Mammalia; Rodentia; Bathyergidae. The record is from RefSeq and is a predicted model, not a curated record.
GCCCACUGGUGAGUCCAUUCAUGUUGAGAGCUGGAGAUGAGCCGGCACCUACUGUAUGCCAGGCCUGGGUAAGCACAGUACCGUGUAACCUGGGGCAGCAGACCCGGAAGGGGUCUGUCGUGAAGAUCUGCUGUCCCAACAGGACACCUAGGGGCACAGCGUACACACCAAUGUCCUCCAAGGCUGGAAGUGACACCCACUGACCCCACGACAGACAGGAGCAGAGGAAGCAGAAGAGGAGCCCAGAUAGACGGUGGAAAUGCCAGGGCAGCGGUUAGGAAAGCGUUGGGUCAUAAAUGUGGCCGAGAUGUUUGUCCCCACCCCCCCCAAUAAUUA